GUGUCAGCAGCCGCGGUAAUACGAAGGGGGCUAGCGUUGCUCGGAUUUACUGGGCGUAAAGGGCGCGUAGGCGGACGAUUUAGUCAGAGGUGAAAGCCCGGGGCUCAACCCCGGAAUUGCCUUUGAUACUGGUCGUCUUGAGUUUGGGAGAGGUGUGUGGAACUCCGAGUGUAGAGGUGAAAUUCGUAGAUAUUCGGAAGAACACCAGUGGCGAAGGCGACACACUGGCCCAAUACUGACGCUGAGGCGCGAAAGCGUGGGGAGCAAACAGGAUUAGAUACCCUGGUAGUCCACGCCGUAAACGAUGAUUGCUAGUUGUCGGCAUGCAUGCAUGUCGGUGACGCAGCUAACGCAUUAAGCAAUCCGCCUGGGGAGUACGGUCGCAAGAUUAAA
RNAcentral lists this ribosomal RNA (393 nucleotides) under uncultured bacterium. RNAcentral describes it as "bacterial SSU rRNA". It matches the Rfam family "Bacterial small subunit ribosomal RNA", at positions 505 to 898 of the family's 1533-position model. The record is from RNAcentral.